This 484-nucleotide ribosomal RNA is filed under the name uncultured bacterium. RNAcentral's name for it is "partial 16S ribosomal RNA". It matches the Rfam family "Bacterial small subunit ribosomal RNA", at positions 30 to 507 of the family's 1533-position model. The record is from RNAcentral.
AUUGAACGCUAGCGGGAUGCUUUACACAUGCAAGUCGAACGGCAGCGCGGUCUUCGGUCUGGCGUCGAGUGGCGAACUGGUGAGUAAUGUAUCGGAACGUCCCCAGUAGCGGUUGAUAACUACUCGAAAGCGUAGCUAAUACCCCAUACGCCCUACCGGCGAAAGCAGGGGAUCGUAAGACCUUCCACUAUUGUCGCGGCCGAUUUCGUAUUAGCUAGUUGGUGAGGUAACGGCUCACCAAGGCGACGAUCCGUAGCUGGUUUGAGAGGACGACCAGCCACACUGGAACUGAGAAACGGACCAGACUCCGACGGGAGGCAGCAGUGGGGAAUAUUGGACAAUGGGGGCAAACCUGAUCCAGCCAUACCGCGUGUGGGAUGAAGGCCUUCGGGUUGUAAAGCACUUUUGGCAGGAAAGAAAAGUAGCGGGCUAAUACCCCGUGGAACUGACGGUACCUGAAGAAUAAGCACCGGCUAACUACGUG